UCCCGUGUGGCUCAGUUGGUAGAGCAUGGUGUUUGCAACGCCAUGGUUGUGGGUUCGAUUCCCACAGGGGAC
RNAcentral lists this transfer RNA (72 nucleotides) under Salmo salar (Atlantic salmon). It matches the Rfam family "tRNA". From Rfam's summary of the family: Transfer RNA (tRNA) molecules are approximately 80 nucleotides in length. Their secondary structure includes four short double-helical elements and three loops (D, anti-codon, and T loops). Lineage: Eukaryota; Metazoa; Chordata; Actinopteri; Salmoniformes; Salmonidae. The record is from Rfam by way of RNAcentral.